Molecule: ribosomal RNA, 433 nt
Filed under: uncultured bacterium
Lineage: Bacteria
Description: partial 16S ribosomal RNA
Rfam family: Bacterial small subunit ribosomal RNA
Source: RNAcentral
AACGAACGCUGGCGGCAUGCCUAACACAUGCAAGUCGAACGAGACCUUCGGUUCUAGUGGCGCACGGUUGCGUAACGCGUGGUAACCUGCCCUUAGGUUCGGAAUAACUCCCCGAAAGGGGUGCUAAUACCGGCUAAUGUCUUCGGACCAAAGAUUUAUCGCCUUUGGAUGGGCCCGCGUUGGAUUAGCUAGUUGGUAGGGUAAAAGCCUACCAAGGCGACGAUCCAUAGCUGGUCUGAGAGGAUGAUCAGCCACACUGGGACUGAGACACGGCCCAGACUCCUACGGGAGGCAGCAGUGGGGAAUAUUGGAAAAUGGGCGAAAGCCUGAUCCAGCAAUGCCGCGUGAGUGAUGAAGGCCUGAGGGUUGUAAAGCUCUUUUACCCGGGAUGAUAAUGACAGUACCGGGAGAAUAAGCACCGGCUAACUCCGUG